Molecule: ribosomal RNA, 348 nt
Filed under: Pseudomonas aeruginosa VRFPA07
Lineage: Bacteria; Pseudomonadati; Pseudomonadota; Gammaproteobacteria; Pseudomonadales; Pseudomonadaceae
Description: bacterial LSU rRNA
Rfam family: Bacterial large subunit ribosomal RNA
Source: RNAcentral
UACGCGAGCUGGGUUUAGAACGUCGUGAGACAGUUCGGUCCCUAUCUGCCGUGGACGUUUGAGAUUUGAGAGGGGCUGCUCCUAGUACGAGAGGACCGGAGUGGACGAACCUCUGGUGUUCCGGUUGUCACGCCAGUGGCAUUGCCGGGUAGCUAUGUUCGGAAAAGAUAACCGCUGAAAGCAUCUAAGCGGGAAACUUGCCUCAAGAUGAGAUCUCACUGGGAACUUGAUUCCCCUGAAGGGCCGUCGAAGACUACGACGUUGAUAGGCUGGGUGUGUAAGCGUUGUGAGGCGUUGAGCUAACCAGUACUAAUUGCCCGUGAGGCUUGACCAUAUAACACCCAAACA